This 254-nucleotide ribosomal RNA is filed under the name uncultured bacterium. RNAcentral describes it as "partial 16S ribosomal RNA". It matches the Rfam family "Bacterial small subunit ribosomal RNA", at positions 524 to 776 of the family's 1533-position model. The record is from RNAcentral.
UACGUAGGGGGCAAGCGUUGUCCGGAUUUAUUGGGCGUAAAGAGCUCGUAGGUGGUUCGGUAAGUCGGAUGUGAAAUCUCCAGGCUCAACCUGGAGGGGUCAUUCGAUACUGCCGUGACUAGAGGUCGGUAGGGGAGUGUGGAAUUCCUGGUGGAGCGGUGAAAUGCGCAGAUAUCAGGAGGAACACCCGUAGCGAAGGCGGCACUCUGGGCCGGUACUGACACUGAGGAGCGAAAGCGUGGGGAGCGAACAGG